UCGGGCCGGUCGGUCGACCUAAUACAUGACAAGUCGAGGUCGGGUUUGUCCGUUCGGGACAAGCUAGCGGCGGACGGGUGAGUAACACGUAGGUAACCUGUCCUUUAAGACUGGGAUAACUAUCGGAAACGAUAGCUAAGACCGGAUAACUGGUUUUCUCGCAUGAGAGAAUCAUAAAACACGGAGCAAUCUGUGGCUUGAAGAUGGGCCUGCGGCGCAUUAGCUAGUUGGUGAGGUAACGGCUCACCAAGGCGACGAUGCGUAGCCGACCUGAGAGGGUGAACGGCCACACUGGGACUGAGACACGGCUCAGACUCCUACGGGAGGCAGCAGUAGGGAAUCUUCCGCAAUGGACGCAAGUCUGACGGAGCAACGCCGCGUGAGUGAUGAAGGUUUUCGGAUCGUAAAGCUCUGUUGCCCUAGACGAACAGCAUCAGGAGUAACUGCCUGAUGUGUGACGGUAUAGGAGAAGAAAGCCCCGGCUAACUACGUG
RNAcentral lists this ribosomal RNA (493 nucleotides) under uncultured Caryophanales bacterium. Its description in RNAcentral is "bacterial SSU rRNA". It matches the Rfam family "Bacterial small subunit ribosomal RNA", at positions 35 to 507 of the family's 1533-position model. The record is from RNAcentral. Lineage: Bacteria; Bacillati; Bacillota; Bacilli; Caryophanales.